CCUACGGGUGGCAGCAGUGGGGGAUAUUGCACAAUGGGGGGAACCCUGAUGCAGCGACGCCGCGUGGGUGAAGAAGCGCCUCGGCGCGUAAAGCCCUGUCAGCCGGGCAGAAAAUGACGGUACCUGACGAAGAAGCCCCGGCUAACUACGUGCCAGCAGCCGCGGUAAUACGUAGGGGGCAAGCGUUAUCCGGAUUUACUGGGUGUAAAGGGGGCGCAGACGGCGAUGCAGGCCAGGCGUGAAAGCCCGGGGCCCAACCCCGGGACUGCUCUUGGAACUGCGUGGCUGGAGUGCAGGAGGGGGAGGCGGAAUUCCUGGUGUAGCGGUGAAAUGCGGAGAUAUCAGGAGGAACACCGGUGGCGAAGGCGGCCUGCUGGACUGCAACUGACGUUGAGGCCCGAAAGCGUGGGGAGCAAACAGGAUUAGAUACCCGAGUAGUC
This 440-nucleotide ribosomal RNA is filed under the name uncultured bacterium. RNAcentral describes it as "partial 16S ribosomal RNA". It matches the Rfam family "Bacterial small subunit ribosomal RNA", at positions 338 to 795 of the family's 1533-position model. The record is from RNAcentral.